Nematostella vectensis (starlet sea anemone) is the source of this 306-nucleotide long non-coding RNA. RefSeq lists it as uncharacterized. Lineage: Eukaryota; Metazoa; Cnidaria; Anthozoa; Actiniaria; Edwardsiidae. The transcript is spliced from 2 exons. The record is from RefSeq and is a predicted model, not a curated record.
GAUGCAAAAUAUUAAGAGGAUGUGGCAUUUGUUGAAAGCAAUAUUAUGUUACUACAUGAUCAAGACUCGCGAUCCUGCGAGCAGAAAGCGAAAACACUGGAGUACUAAUAAGCAAUUUAAUAGUAAACCAUUUCGUAAACCUUUAGCUGGUCGGUUGCAAAAUAUCCAACAAAAAACAUACCUUCAGCACAUGCUAGGAGGCAGAUACACAGAGAUGAGAUCCGCCAAAUCACGGUGAAGAUUUGAACCGCCAUUUUGUUCCUCUUGUCGCUUCAGACCAAUAAUAAACGAAGCGAUAAAAAUCGA